This 973-nucleotide ribosomal RNA is filed under the name uncultured eukaryote. RNAcentral's name for it is "bacterial SSU rRNA". It matches the Rfam family "Eukaryotic small subunit ribosomal RNA", at positions 839 to 1828 of the family's 1831-position model. The record is from RNAcentral.
CUAGUUUUGGGCGCUUCGACUGCUUACCGCAAAGGAAUGGACGGAGACAUCCGUAUUGAACAGCAAGAGGUGAAAUUCUGGGAUUUGUUCAAGACGAGCAAAGGCGAAGGCAUUUGUCCAUGACUUUUCCCUUGAUAAAGAGCGAAGGUUGGGGGAUUCAAGAUGAUCAGAUACCGUCGUAGUCCCAACGGUAAACUAUGCCAGCACUGUGUCUCGGUACUUCCGAUUAUUGGGAACUAUCGGGGCUUGUGGAGAAAUCGUUAGCGAUCGGGUUCUGGGGGAAGUAUGGUCGCAAGAUCGAAACUUAAAGGAAUUGACGGAAGGGCACCACCAGGAGUGGAGCUUGCGGCUUAAUUUGACUCAACGCGGGGAAACUUACCAGCGCCAGAGGACGUUGUGAUUGACAAGCGGGAGGCUUUUCUUGAUUCGUUGGGUGGUGGUGCAUGGCCGUUCCGAGUUGGUGGAUUGAUUUGUCAGGUUGAUUCCGACAACGAACGAGAUCCAAGCUUUCUAGUUCGGAGUACCCUCUUUUGUUGGGUAUUUUCAUGGUUAGAAGGACGGUGUUGGCUUACAACAAUGAAGGGUUGGGCGAUAACAGGUCUGUGAUGCCCUUCGAUACGCUGGGCUGCACGCGUGCUACAUUGCCAUUUGCAAAGGGGUUGGGGUCUCGUAGCCGAGAUCUUUUCCCGAAUAAGCUUUAUCAGUGUGCUCAGUUAGGUCAGAUCCUUGCAAUUUUGGAUCUUCAAUGAGGAAUUCCUCGUAGGCGUCAGCGGAUCAUCUGACGUCGAUUACGUCCCUGCCCUUUGUACACACCGCCCGUCGCUCCUACCGAUUGGGUUGUCCGGCAAAUGCGAAUGACGGACUGGCUACGAACUUGCGUUUACAGUUUGGUUCGAAUUUUGUGUAAGCCAUACUUCCUAGAGGAAGGAGAAGUCGUAACAAGGUUUCCGUAGGUGAACCUGCAGAAGGAUCA